This 435-nucleotide ribosomal RNA is filed under the name uncultured bacterium. Its description in RNAcentral is "partial 16S ribosomal RNA". It matches the Rfam family "Bacterial small subunit ribosomal RNA", at positions 29 to 507 of the family's 1533-position model. The record is from RNAcentral.
AGCGAACGCUGGCGGCAGGCUUAACACAUGCAAGUCGAGCGGGCGUAGCAAUACGUCAGCGGCAGACGGGUGAGUAACGCGUGGGAACGUACCUUUUGGUUCGGAACAACACAGGGAAACUUGUGCUAAUACCGGAUAAGCCCUUACGGGGAAAGAUUUAUCGCCGAAAGAUCGGCCCGCGUCUGAUUAGCUAGUUGGUGAGGUAACGGCUCACCAAGGCGACGAUCAGUAGCUGGUCUGAGAGGAUGAUCAGCCACAUUGGGACUGAGACACGGCCCAAACUCCUACGGGAGGCAGCAGUGGGGAAUAUUGGACAAUGGGGGCAACCCUGAUCCAGCCAUGCCGCGUGAGUGAUGAAGGCACUAGGGUUGUAAAGCUCUUUUGUGCGGGAAGAUAAUGACGGUACCGCAAGAAUAAGCCCCGGCUAACUUCGUG